AUGUCUUGAACGCUGAAUUCUGUGAAAUUCAGAAACGGGGGAACCAAUCGGAGAUGUCUGCUGCGUAAACGCCGGAUGUUUCCAUGGGGUGAAUUUUUCGGCUAUUGUAUUUCAAAGCCGGGAAUAGGGCGACUCUCUCGCCCGAAUCCGACAGCUAACCUCGUAAGCGUACAGGGAGAGGCAGC
RNAcentral lists this small RNA (185 nucleotides) under Paenibacillus sp. RNAcentral describes it as "c-di-AMP sequence". It matches the Rfam family "c-di-AMP riboswitch aptamer (ydaO/yuaA leader)". Rfam says of the family: This family represents a conserved RNA structure found upstream of the ydaO and yuaA genes in Bacillus subtilis and related genes in other bacteria. The record is from RNAcentral. Lineage: Bacteria; Bacillati; Bacillota; Bacilli; Caryophanales; Paenibacillaceae.